CCAMGCUAAACCAGCAACGACAACAGUAAUAGCUGUUAGGUUUAUGAAAAUCACUCUAUAUACCCUGGCUUUGACGUCCGUGCUAAUGGCUUCGUGUCUCUUUAGUGCUGCUUCUACUGUGGCUGCAUCUUGAGCGAGUCGUUCUUCUUCUAAAACAUGCAUCAUGUCAUCCAGCCAUGAUUCGCGUAACGCGGCCUGAUAAACAAAGACAAAUGAAAUAAAACUGGGGAUUAUGAUAGCGUUGUUGCCGGCAAUGCGGCGUAAAGUCGUACCAAAAUAAUUGGAACUGCGGAGGAUUAGAGGAUUAACAUAUUUAACUAUCUACCUCAAGAUAUUGUUAUUAUAUUGAUGUUAUUUAAUUGACGGUUGUUGAAAUGUUAUUCGGCGAAAGAGAAAUUGAACUUCGCAGGUCGCACUUUAAUGAUGUAAUGGUGGUAAUGCAGUUUUCUUUUUUCGUUUAAGUUAUUUAAAAAACUUAGAGGAUAGAAAAUGAAAAUAUGCUUUGACCAAAGAAGCAGCAGACGCCAUACAAAGUGUAUCAAUAAAGUUAUACCUUUCUUUCAAA
This is a long non-coding RNA of Actinia tenebrosa (Australian red waratah sea anemone), 565 nucleotides long. The record is from RefSeq and is a predicted model, not a curated record. Lineage: Eukaryota; Metazoa; Cnidaria; Anthozoa; Actiniaria; Actiniidae.